UGGACUCGAUUUCCAAAAGCUCCGGAUCUAACCAUAAUCAGAUUACUACUAUCAACAUAGCCUAAAGAAUUGAAUUCCACAAUAAAAAAAUAUAAAAUAUAAAAAAAAUCCGAAAUCGGCCAAAACCCGACCCCUAGGCCCAUAUCUCAAAAUCAGUCAAAAAUGGUAUAAUCAUAAAACUCGUUCUCUCCCGAGUCUAAUCAUAUAAAAUUUAUCAAAAUCGGACUUCGUUUGGUCCCUCAAAUCCUCACUUAAAACCCUCCAAAACUCAAACCCUAACUCGCUCAAUUUUACUUUGAAAUCAUCAAUUAAAUCCCAAAAACGAUAAUGGAUUCUUCAAAUAUAACAAAAAUGGAGUAGAGAAUACUUACCCCAAUUCAUAUGGUGAAAAUCGCCUAAAUCCGUGCUCCCCAUCUGAAAAUAUGACCGAAUGAACAACCCUAGUUUUUUUAUAUUUUUCUGCCAGUUAUUCUGCCUCGUUUCUCAUGUCAAACAAUCUCAAAACUCGUCUUUUAUGCCUCUAAUGGAUUUCUUGUGAACUUCUACUCAAG
RNAcentral lists this long non-coding RNA (551 nucleotides) under Nicotiana benthamiana. RNAcentral's name for it is "long non-coding RNA (NBEN_LNC042117)". The record is from RNAcentral. Lineage: Eukaryota; Viridiplantae; Streptophyta; Magnoliopsida; Solanales; Solanaceae.